This 483-nucleotide ribosomal RNA is filed under the name uncultured bacterium. RNAcentral describes it as "partial 16S ribosomal RNA". It matches the Rfam family "Bacterial small subunit ribosomal RNA", at positions 28 to 523 of the family's 1533-position model. The record is from RNAcentral.
GACGAACGCUGGCGGCGUGCUUAACACAUGCAAGUCGAACGAUGAAGCCGGAGCUUGCUCCGGUGGAUUAGUGGCGAACGGGUGAGUAACACGUGAGCAAUCUGCCCUUGACUCUGGGAUAACUGCGGGAAACUGUAGCUAAUACCGGAUACGACACCUUGGGGCAUCCCAGGGUGUGGAAAGAGUUUCGGUCAAGGAUGAGCUCGCGGCCUAUCAGCUAGUUGGUGAGGUAAUGGCUCACCAAGGCGACGACGGGUAGCCGGCCUGAGAGGAUGACCGGGCACACUGGAACUGAGACACGGUCCAGACUCCCACGGGAGGCAGCAGUGGGGAAUGUUGCACAAUGGGCGAAAGCCUGAUGCAGCAACGCCGCGUGAGGGAUGAGGGCCUUCGGGUUGUAAACCUCUUUUAGCAGGGAAGAAGCGAAAGUGACGGUACCUGCAGAAAAAGCACCGGCUAACUACGUGCCAGCCGCCGCAGUAA